AGUGAACGCUGGCGGUAGGCCUAACACAUACAAGUCGAACGGCAGCACAGAGGAGCUUGCUCCUUGGGUGGCGAGUGGCGGACGGGUGAGGAAUACAUCGGAAUCUACUCUGUCGUGGGGGAUAACGUAGGGAAACUUACGCUAAUACCGCAUACGACCUACGGGUGAAAGCAGGGGACCUUCGGGCCUUGCGCGAUUGAAUGAACCGAUGUCGGAUUAGCUAGUUGGCGGGGUAAAGGCCCACCAAGGCGACGAUCCGUAGCUGGUCUGAGAGGAUGAUCAGCCACACUGGAACUGAGACACGGUCCAGACUCCUACGGGAGGCAGCAGUGGGGAAUAUUGGACAAUGGGCGCAAGCCUGAUCCAGCCAUACCGCGUGGGUGAAGAAGGCCUUCGGGUUGUAAAGCCCUUUUGUUGGGAAAGAAAUCCAGCUGGUUAAUACCCGGUUGGGAUGACGGUACCCAAAGAAUAAGCACCGGCUAACUUCGUGCCAGCCGCCGCGGUAA
This 506-nucleotide ribosomal RNA is filed under the name uncultured bacterium. RNAcentral's name for it is "partial 16S ribosomal RNA". It matches the Rfam family "Bacterial small subunit ribosomal RNA", at positions 29 to 523 of the family's 1533-position model. The record is from RNAcentral.